GCGGGGCUUCCCCGCCGAGACCCUGCGUGGCUCCAACGCCGCGACCCGACUCUGCGGCCUCUGCGGCCUCUCCCCUUCCUCCCGUCGCUCGGCGGCCGGCAGGGGGCGCUGCCGCGGCUGCGGGCCUAGUUCCCGGCGAUCCCAGGACGCCCUCACCUGGCCCACGAGCUACCACUGAGCCUCACACCUCCUGGGGACGGGAAAGAAUCCCCGGACCACCGGAGCAGCUGUCUUUUUACGCGCUGGGCGUGAUGCUGGAGCAGCGAGGCCUACAGGGAAGCCGCGUCUGACUCUGCUCCGGUGGAUUUCUGCAACUAGGAAAAGGACGGGAAAUCAGUGCUCGGCGGUGAAAGGGAAGUUCAGCUCUGCGGAGGAACUUUGCCCACGGGUCUCCAGAACACUCCUCCCACCCCACCCACCUCAUGACAGACCGGGCAAUGUCCUAACGCUCCCGAGUCACAGAGUGUCCGAGGCUCUGAAGCUCAGUGUGAAAAUACGCUCGUGUUCAGCUACAUUGAAAAGCAUGGCGAAGAGAAGGUGAAGUCCUCUGCGGUGUGUACAGCCCUGGGAAAAUAAAUCAUUGUGCCCAGCUGGUUCGGAAUCCCAGCUGCCUCCUAAAGCCAACUUUCGGCCUGAUGGCAAGUGGAGGUGCGUUUGCUCUGGCAAACAUGGCAGUCAUUCUCGAUGGAGUACAGUUGGAAAAUCCAGGGAAACAGAGUGAGGUGGGUCAGGGGCUUCUCCAGGAGCCUUCCGAGCGCCAUUUGGGGGGGGCCUGUGAAACGUGGACCCCAGGGCCCACCAGGCCCCACUGUGCAGCAUGCCCAGGGGGUGGGGGGCUGAGCAGGGGGCAUCUCAUAGGCUUCCGGGCUGCUCAGAUGUGCACUGAUUUUGAAAAUCAUGAAGUUAAAAGCACAGAGUUUAGAAACCUUAAAACUUGGAUUUAAAUGCAAUGUCCUAAGGCUUCAGAAUAGCCAAGUAUCUUCUCUGCAGUUCAAUAUUCAUUGAACGUUAAUUAAUUCAACACUAAUUGUGGGCCUACAGUGUCGCCUCAUAAUUCCUUGAACCUUAUGUGGGACACGAAAGACUGAGUUCCUCCUUGUAUUUAUAGAGAUAUGGAGUAAAGGACAAGUAAGCCAAUUUUUAAGCUGAGGCUUCCAUUAGGGUUUACACUAUUCUUGUGACUUUGAACAAAUAUAUAAAUACCUUAAUUUGUAUCUGCAAAAUGGAUAUAAAUGGUGCCGGUACCCGUACAGCUACCGAAGGUACUGAGGCUGAAGUGUUUGCAACAUGCACUAAAACAUACGAGAGCUUCUCUGAAGAUGAGGAAAAGGGUUUCAGAAAAUACAGAAUGUCUCCCUCUUCUGCUACUUUAUUUCACGGGAGGUAAUAAUAAUGAUUAGCUUUUGGUCCUUAUCAUGAGCCGGGCAUUAUUUUAAGCACUCCAUGCAUUAUUUACUCCUCAAACAAUGCUUUGAAAUAGGUUAUAAUUAUACCCAUUUUAUAGAUGAAGAAACUGAGGCAAAGAAAGGUGAAGCAGCUGGCCUGUGGUCAUACAGCCAGUAAGUUGCCAAGUCAGGGUUUGAACGUGGGAACUCAGAGCCUGGGGCUUUCUUGCCUCUUUGGGCCUGCAGCCUGAUAGUAAACUGAAGGAGGAACAUCGAAGUCCACUUCCUGAGCAACAGGAAGUUCCCCUUUAGCAACCAUAUGGUAAGAAUGUCCAAAUAAUUAUUAUUCUGGAGCCCACAGCAGAGCAAAAGGUUUUCUCUGAUGAGAGUUAACAAAGGUGAUUCAGUGGACAAAAGAGUGGUCUUUUCAACAAAUGGUACUGAAACCAUUGGAUUUCCAUAUUCCAAAAACUGAAGAAUUCUCACCUUGUACCUUAUGCAAAGUAAUGCAUUUAAUGGUCUGUUUUGAGUUAAAUGGACCAUUUACAUCAAAAUGAAAAAAAAAUCUAUAAAUUUACAGAUGAAAACAUAGUGAAAAAAACCUUUCUGACUUUGGGCUAGGCCAAGAUUUCUUAGGUGCUCCACUGAAAACAUGAUCCCACAAGAGACUGAAUUAAACUGGGCUUCCUCAGAAUUAAAACUCUGCUCUUUGAAAAACAUUCAGAAAUUAAAAAGACAAGGAAUCAAACAGGAGAAAAUAUUCACACAUCAUGUAUUUGAUAAGGGACUUGCAUCUAGAAUGCAUAAAGAACCUUAAAAACUCAGUGAUAAGAAAACAACAUAAUACAAAAUGGGCGAAAGACAUGAACACAUCACCGAAGAAGAUAUACCUAUGUCAAAUGAAAAGAUACUCAUCAUGAUGAGACAGCAGGGAAAUAAAAAUUAAACCUACAAUGAGAUACCCCUACAGACCCAUCAGAAUGGCUAAAAUUAGAGACUGGCCAUACCUCUUGUUGGCCAGUUUGUGGAGAAAGGGGCAAGAAUGUACGAUGAUACAACCACUUUGGAGACGUUUGCCUGUGUUAACAAGGUAAACAAAACACUGACCAUGAUCCAGCCAUUCUACUUUUAGGAAUUUACCCAAGAGAAAUGAAAGCAUAUGUCUCUACAAAGAUUUGUGCAAGAAUGAUCAGCAGCUUUAUGUGUUCAUGGGGAAAAAGUGGAAACCACUGAAAAAUCCAUCCACAGGCGACACUGUGGCAAUUCCACAUAAUUAACUAUUAUUCAGCAAUAAAAUGAAACCAACGGACACAACAUGGGUGAAUCUCAAAAUAAUUUUGUUGAAUAAAGGAAGCCAGACCCCCUCCCAUAUACAGAAAGCAUGAUCCCAUUUACAUUACAUCCUAAGACGUGCAAGCUAAUCUCUAAUGAGAGAAAGGGGAUCAGUGCUUGCCUGAGUGUGUAUAUCAGGGGCAUCAACAGAGGGAUAUGAAGAGGGGGGGCAUGAGGAAACUUCUGGACAUGCUCCAUAUAGUUACUAUGGUGAUUGUGGUAAUGCUUUCACAGAUACACAUGUCAAAACAUCAAUGUUUACACUUCACGUGCAGUUCAUUGAUGCCUUUUACACUUCAGAAUAGUUGUUGAAACUUUUAACUGUUUAAAUAAAAUUUAAAAUUCAGCUGUA
Long non-coding RNA from Hyaena hyaena (striped hyena), 3069 nucleotides. RefSeq lists it as uncharacterized. The record is from RefSeq and is a predicted model, not a curated record. NCBI's taxonomy places the organism in Eukaryota, Metazoa, Chordata, Mammalia, Carnivora, Hyaenidae. The transcript has 2 exons.